Molecule: long non-coding RNA, 267 nt
Filed under: Musa acuminata (dwarf banana)
Lineage: Eukaryota; Viridiplantae; Streptophyta; Magnoliopsida; Zingiberales; Musaceae
Description: long non-coding RNA (MACU_LNC007950)
Source: RNAcentral
GAGGGGAACGAUUACAACAGUCUGUGUGAGGGACUGAUUCUUUAGUUUAUUGCAUAGGACAAUAAACUAAGUGGGAACGUCACUGUAAUGCUAAUAAUGCUACUUCAAGCCAUCUCACAGUACUGAAAACAUUUCUUAUAGAGAGGUUAUGAAUAUAACGCAGAAAGGUCAGCCACGAUCCCCAAAAGUGGAGACACCACCACUAUAAUGAACAGUGUUUACACGUUUAAGGACAAAAUGAAGUGCUAUAAUAUUAAAUUAACCCAC